RNAcentral lists this ribosomal RNA (506 nucleotides) under Cerithium salebrosum. RNAcentral's name for it is "partial 16S ribosomal RNA". It matches the Rfam family "Bacterial large subunit ribosomal RNA", at positions 1817 to 2600 of the family's 2925-position model. The record is from RNAcentral. Lineage: Eukaryota; Metazoa; Mollusca; Gastropoda; Cerithiidae.
GGCUCCUUGUCUUUUUUAUAUAGGGAGUCGGACCUGCCCGGUGAAAACUUUUAACGGCCGCGGUACUCUGACCGUGCAAAGGUAGCAUAAUCACUUGCCUUAUAAUUGAAGGCUGGUAUGAAUGGUUUGACGAGAGCACUUCUGUCUCUCCUCCACUUUAUAGAAAUUAACAUUCAGGUGAAGAGGCCUGUAUUAAAUUGAAGGACGAGAAGACCCUGUCGAGCUUUAAGGGAAUGAGGAAAAACUUUAUAUUUGAUAAAUGAAAAACCUUUUUUACCUUUUGGUUGGGGCGACUAGGGAACAGACAAAGCUUCCCUUACCUAAAAAACUUUUUGUCAGGAUCCAGCAUUGCUGAUUAAAAGAAUUAGUUACCGCAGGGAUAACAGCAUAAUCCUUCUUGAGAGACCUAAUCGAAAGAAGGGGUUGUGACCUCGAUGUUGGACUAGGAUAUCCUAAGGGUGCAGAAGCCUUUGAGGGUUGGUCUGUUCGACCAUUAAAAUCCUACG